UUAAUUAUAUAAAAAUAGUCAAUUUUUAAUUUUGAUCCUAUACAUGGCUUAGCGAAAGUGACAGAAAACCAUCACCCCAAUUCUCAACUAUAAGAAGCCUUGCAUAAUGGAGGUUCAGCAUUGUGCAAAAGCCACCACUGAAACAAUGGCUUAUCUUCAACCAUUGAUCUUCUAUAUUUUGGCUGCUCUUGCAAUAUUCUGGCUUUCCCCCAUCCUCUUUAGCUAAGAUUGAAUGAGAAGAUAAUCAACAAAUGCUAUACUACUGGAUUUGGUUAUAAGCUUCUGCUGCAAUAAGCUAGCGAGACUGCACAUCUGAAGCCACCUCAUGAAUAUGUGCCAUGGGUGGUGGUGAAUAAUCAGCCACUCAGACAAGCGAGACUGAAAAAUUUGUGAAAUAUGUGUGCCAAGCUUAUAAAGGAGAUCAUAAACCAGCUGCUUGCAAAGCACAAUCAUCCAGUCACAGCUCAACCAUCCAUGCAUAAAACCAUCCGCCAGCAACUCCGGUUAUAGACUUCUACAAGCUGGCACUUCAAUUGCCUCCCUCAGCUGCUUGGCACUUCAAUUGCCUCCUUCAGCUUUCAGCUCUAGUCUGAACUCUAGAGCCCCAAUCCCAACCAAAUUUACAAUACACGGAAUCUGAACACAAGAUGCUCAAGAGAAUCUAAUGCCCCUGUAUGAUGCAAGGAAUCCCCGCACCCAUCUGCAACCUAUUACAACAGCACAGGGACUUCAAGUACGCAUAGGUACUUUUAUCACCUAAAACUAUUAAAUAAUUUAUCUGUCAUCUAACCAAAAUUUUGUUUUUUAUAUAAAAGCUUUUUGUUGCAAAGUGAUCAAACUCUUUGGCAAGACUUACCCAUACUAUGGCCAAAGUUGAAAUCGAAAGGGCUGUAUUGCUUGCCAAAUACAUAAGACAAUCGUGGUAAAUCUACGUAUGGAAAUUCUGUGACACUGGAUCCGCUAUUACACUGGCCGUAAAAUAAGUUUGAAUAAUUUUGAGGUGUUCCAAGGGAUGAGAUGGUCUCGGCCUUCCAUAACAAGUAUACAUCU
Molecule: long non-coding RNA, 1050 nt
Organism: Gossypium raimondii (Peruvian cotton)
Lineage: Eukaryota; Viridiplantae; Streptophyta; Magnoliopsida; Malvales; Malvaceae
Exons: 4
Source: RefSeq, a predicted model, not a curated record